GACGAACGCUGGCGGCGUGCUUAACACAUGCAAGUCGAACGGCAAGGCCCUGCUUUCGUGGUGUGCUCGAGUGGCGAACGGGCGAGUAACACGUGUGUAACCUGCCCUUGACUUUGGGAUAACUUCAGGUAACUGGGGCUACUCUCGUAUCGCAGCCCACGUUGCAUUGUGGGCGUUGGAUCGUCUCGGCGGUUGGGGAUGGACGCGCGGCUUAUGAGCUUGUUGGUUGGGUAGUGGUUGACCAAGGCUGUGGAGGGUACCCGGCCUGAGAGGGUGACCGGCGACAUGGGGACUGAGAUACGGCCCAGACUCCUACGGGAGGCAGCAGUGGGGAAUAUGGCACAGUGGGCGGAAGCCUGAUGCAGCAACGCCGCGUGCGGGAUGACGGCCUUCGGGUUGUAAACCGCUUUAGCCUGUGACGAAGCGUGAGUGACGGUAAUGGGUAAAGAAGCACCGGCUAACUACGUG
This 468-nucleotide ribosomal RNA is filed under the name uncultured bacterium. RNAcentral's name for it is "partial 16S ribosomal RNA". It matches the Rfam family "Bacterial small subunit ribosomal RNA", at positions 28 to 507 of the family's 1533-position model. The record is from RNAcentral.